Malania oleifera is the source of this 3475-nucleotide long non-coding RNA. RefSeq lists it as uncharacterized. The record is from RefSeq and is a predicted model, not a curated record. The transcript is spliced from 3 exons. Lineage: Eukaryota; Viridiplantae; Streptophyta; Magnoliopsida; Santalales; Ximeniaceae.
GCGUUUUCCAUUCCCAUGACACCAUUAUAGUUUCUUUGAAUGCAUCUUUUUCCCGUGGAACAACAGAAAGUAGCAGAGAUAAAGAAAAAAAGAAAGGGCAACUGUGGUGGUGGGAAAGGAGUUGGAUGAGUGCGGCCGUAACAAAUGACGACGCCCGCAAAUUAGGUCGGCGCCGGCCUCCCCGGGCGGUGAUUGAGAUGUUGGAAGCCCGGGGGGGGAGGCGGGACCAUGCAGCUCAGAUGCAGGGGAGCAAGUCUGAUUCACGUUGUCCUUUCCUUUCGCACAUGUCUGGAACCAAGGUUAGUCUGCGCUUUUGGAAGUCCUUGAUCUUCCGACAUUACACCUGUUAGAACAUCUUUGGGUGGAGUGAUCCUGAUGACCAGGUGCAUGCGUCUUCCGUUAGGACUUCCUGUAUACGCAGAAAAAUGGAAAAUAUGGAGUCGGUCGCAUUGUAUAAAAGGUUGUAUCUUUUUAGACUUUCCCAUUUAAUUUUUUUGUAUGGCCUUUAGAAAUUGAUACUUGGUAAAAAUAUGUGCAGGAAGCUUUAUUUCUUUCAUGAUCAUCGUCGAAGUUGAACUCAUGAUCCAAUUUCAAAAUCUGGCUUAUCCCAUUUUAGAGAGAGAGAGAGAGAGAGACCAAGUUUUUGUUUUAAGGUUCGAUCAUUAGUGUUUAAAAUUUGAGAUUUUGAUAUAAUUUAUUAGAGACGGUAGCGACUCAUAUAACGGCUCCGUCCCAAAUUUAUUAAUAAAUUCUCACUUGUGGUGGAGGAAUACCGGGGUUACAAGUAAAGUGUCUUGGAGAAUACAAAUAAGCAAUAAAAUCCUCCCAAAAACAAAUCACAAACAAAAACCACAAAUAUAAAAACCAAAACUAAACAAAACCUAACCAAACGGCCCAAACUAAAGAAGCCUAAAUUAAAACAACCGAGCAAACUAUACAAGACUAACCGAAAGAAAGGACGAAAGACAGAACAUUAUUAAAACAAUAAUAACUAUUGUAAAAAUAAUAACAUUAAUGAUAAUCAAACAACAAUAAUAUAUAAUAAUACUAAAAUUACUAUUACUCUAUUGAGUACAUUUUAGAGAGUGCAUUUGUUUGAGCUUUAUUGUGUACAUUUCUACUUGUAUUUUUCAGAAGCAUUUUCAUAUACAAAAAUGGUUUUAUUGUAAUGGUUGGAUUCAGCUCGUUAAUUGAAUUAGGAAGUCUCAGCCUCGUAAAUGAGACCGGUUCGAUUCAGUUCGAAAAUUGAACUGGGGAGUCUGAACUCUGUAAGUGAGACUAGUUUGGCUCAGCCUAGUAAUUGAGUUGGGGUUUUCCUCCACCCGUUUGUGAGCAGGUUUAAUGGAAUCUUUAGGAGUAUGCCCAAGGCGAGGAUGUAGGCUGGUUUGGCCGAACCUCGAUAACAAAUCCGGUGUUGCUUUCUCUAUCUUAUUUAAAUUCAUGCACUUUAAUUUUAUCAUGUGUAUGAAUAUUUAUUUAAUGUCAUAAUGUGCCUAUAGGGAUCCCAAAAUUGUGCAUGCGACGCUCACACAAACCCUGUAUCCAUAUACCCUAGUUCAAUCAACUCAACCCCAGAAUAUUUAUCAUUUUAAUACUCCUAAGCUCAUACUCUUCCAAUAACUAAUUAGACGUGAUAACAUAUUUCUUACCCCAGUUUUUGAGUGGUGCCUAGAAAGCCUAAUCAGCAAAACCGCUUCAGUUAAACUGCAGAGAAACAUCACCGAGAUCUCAAAAUGUUGUUUAUCCUUCAAUGUGGGCUUAAACCGGGCAAAAAAUCGAAGAGAGAAGGAGGGAUGGCUGCAGCCUUAGAGAGAGAGAGAGAGAGAGAGGGAGAGGAUUUAAUUUUUAUCCCAAAAAAUGACUUGAAUGCUUUAUAUAGGCCAUGGACCCGGAGCAAAACCGUCGAUGGUUUGGUUUUUAACCAAACUUGUUUUCACUAUUUUACCCUUACCUAGAUGUGGUAACUCAAAACCGUUGAUGGUUUUCUGAGCUCCUCCAAAACCGUCGAAUGUUUGGCCUAUGCCAAACCAAAUUUCCUCUUUUAAAUUUUUUUCUUAUUGUUUCUAUUUUCCAGAUCUCUACAAUUCACCCUGCUAAUGUCACCUAAUUUAGUGGAAGUUAACAAUAUUUGUUGUUUUUCAAAUCUUGAUAAUUUAUCAAUGAGAGAUUUAAAGUGUCUAAACAUUCCUAAUUCCAAGCACACUAUACCUUAUGAACUUUUCCAUUAAAUGUUAAAUAAGCAUCAAGUACGCUCUAUUGGAUUAGUCACAUUUUUCAUACCAAGCCUUAUUGUUAGUAGAAUUUAUUAGUUUUAUAGGUUCAUAUACUCUUAAUGUUGAGUUAACAUUCAUAACAACAAGAUGAACGCUGAGCGACUCAGCUUAGUCCUCAUAAUUGGUUCUAGAUAAUGUUUUGAUGGAAGACAAGCACAUAGGCAAAGUAGUUGAGGAAAUAAUAAAUGAACCUAUGUUAUUAUGCAUAUAAAAUAAAAUCAUUAUAUACACAUACUUUUCUCACUAUCUAAUCAAUCAUGUUGUACAAACAAAAUCCCCAAAUCACCGAAGUCCCUCAUAAGGAUCCUAGAGUACAAUGAUGAACCAAUUUCCUUAUAGCAAAUCAAUUUUUUGGGGGUACAAAAUCAAAAUUUGCAGGUCAUUGUGGUCUCACCUAAGUAUCCUAAACUACAAUGAUGAACAAAAUCAUCUAAUGAAAGGGUGUGAUCAUCAAUCAUGGGAUUUCUAGUGUCAACUGCAAUCUAGAAACAAUUUUACAUAACUAGAAACUAUAUCAUAUUACUAAACUAGUUACAUCACAAUGAACAUCUUUGAUUAGACUCAUAAUAGGUCAGGACACAUCAGAGGCCAUCGAGGGAGUGGUGCCAGGGUGCGCUGAGGAAACAUAUGCUUGAGUAGAGGGAUGCACCCAUUCUAGAGGGCAGGUAGCCGAUGACGGAUGACGAGAUCUACACUCAGGUGCUUGGGGAACAAACGGGUGGUUGGUUGAAUGGUCUUGGGGGUGGAUACAUAGCCCCAACAUCAUCAUUUUCUUUCAGUGUGGCGUAUCAUGCUGAGAUUGACUGAGAGCGUCGAGCCGCCCAGGCUCAAGCAGAGGAGAUGGUUAUCUGAAUGCAGAUGAUGGAAGCGAAGAACCAGUAAUUGAAAGAAAAUAUGUCGAAUUGGGAAGUGGAGAUGGAAGUCAUGAAGAACUGGAAAGUACAAAUCGAAUAAAUGAUGCACCAAUCUCGUCCAUAUGAUGCGGGUGGCUCCUCUCAUUAGAAGGGUUUGCAACCAUCACAAUGUCAGCACGAUGUCAUGCACUACGGAUGCAGCUUUUGACUUUUUUUAUUAUCUUAACAGAUGAAAUUUUUGUAUUUGAAUUUGAAUUUGUAUAAUGUAUUUGUAUUUAAAUUUGAAUUUGUAUAAUAUAUUUGUAUUUUAAUUUUAAUUUGUAUAAUAUAUUUUUAUUUUUAUUUUUA